GGGUGCAGCAGGCGCGAAAACUUUGCAAUACACGAAAGUGUGACAGGGUCAUCCCGAGUGCCGACCGCUGAGGUUGGCUUUUACCCAGUCUAGAAAGCUGGGGGAAUAAGGAGAGGGCAAGUCUGGUGUCAGCCGCCGCGGUAAUACCAGCUCUCCGAGUGGUGUGGACGUUUAUUGGGCCUAAAGCAUCCGUAGCUGGCUGAACAAGUCCCCUGUUAAACCCACCGAUUUAAUCGUUGGUCUGCGGGGGAUACUGCUCGGCUAGGGGACGAGAGAGGCAGACGGUAUUCCCGGGGUAGGGGUGAAAUCCUAUAAUCCCGAGAAGACCACCAGUGGCGAAGGCUGUCUGCUAGAACGCGCCCGACGGUGAGGGAUGAAAGCUGGGGGAGCGAACCGGAUUAGAUACCCGGGUAGUCCCAGCUGUAAACGAUGCAGACUAGGUGUUUGGACGGCCACGUGCCGUUCUAGUGCCGCAGGGAAGCUGUUAAGUCUGCCGCCUGGGGAGUACGAUCGCAAGAUUGAAACUUAAAGGAAUUGGCGGGGGAGCAC
This 549-nucleotide ribosomal RNA is filed under the name uncultured archaeon. Its description in RNAcentral is "bacterial SSU rRNA". It matches the Rfam family "Archaeal small subunit ribosomal RNA", at positions 328 to 879 of the family's 1478-position model. The record is from RNAcentral.